This 216-nucleotide ribosomal RNA is filed under the name uncultured bacterium. Its description in RNAcentral is "partial 16S ribosomal RNA". It matches the Rfam family "Bacterial small subunit ribosomal RNA", at positions 123 to 334 of the family's 1533-position model. The record is from RNAcentral.
AACCUGCCUCAAAGAGGGGGACAACAGUUGGAAACGACUGCUAAUACCGCAUAACAGUAGAUGUUGCAUGACAUCUAUUUGAAAGGGGCAAUUGCUCCACUACCAGAUGGACCUGCGUUGUAUUAGCUAGUUGGUGAGGUAACGGCUCACCAAGGCGACGAUACAUAGCCGACCUGAGAGGGUGAUCGGCCACACUGGGACUGAGACACGGCCCAG